GAUUAACAUUUUAAAUUUUCUAUUUAUUAAUAUAAAUUUAAUUUAUUUUAAAUAUAAAAAAAUAUUUAUAAAAUAAUUAGACGACAAGACCCUAUUAAACUUAACUUAAGUUAAGCUGGGGCAGCUAAUAAAUUAUUAUUUUUAUUAAAAUUAUUAAAAUUUUAUCUAAUAAAAUUAAUUAAUCAAGUUACUAUAGGGAUAACAGCGUAAUAUUAAUUUAAAGUUCAUAUUAAAAUUAACUUUUGCGACCUCGAUGUUGAAUUAUAGAUCUUUAUUAACGCAAAAGUUAUAUAAGUAAGUCUGUUCGACUUUUAAUACUUUACA
RNAcentral lists this ribosomal RNA (324 nucleotides) under Chrysso n. sp. MAA-2007. RNAcentral's name for it is "partial 16S ribosomal RNA". Lineage: Eukaryota; Metazoa; Arthropoda; Arachnida; Araneae; Theridiidae. The record is from RNAcentral.